AAUAUUGCGCAAUGGAGGGAACUCUGACGCCGCGACGCCGCGUGAGCGAUGAAGGUCUUCGGAUCGUAAAGCUCUUUCCUUGGGGAAGAAGGUCUUCGGACUUGACGGUACCUAAGGAGGAAGCCCCGGCCAACUCCGUGCCAGCAGCCGCGGUAAUACGUAGGUGGCAAGCGUUAUCCGGAAUUAUUGGGCGUAAAGCGCGCGCAGGCGGUUUCUUAAGUCUGAUGUGAAAGCCCACGGCUCAACCGUGGAGGGUCAUUGGAAACUGGGGAACUUGAGUGCAGAAGAGGAGAGUGGAAUUCCAUGUGUAGCGGUGAAAUGCGUAGAGAUAUGGAGGAACACCAGUGGCGAAGGCGACUCUCUGGUCUGCAACUGACGCUGAGGCGCGAAAGCGUGGGGAGCAAACA
Molecule: ribosomal RNA, 407 nt
Filed under: uncultured bacterium
Lineage: Bacteria
Description: partial 16S ribosomal RNA
Rfam family: Bacterial small subunit ribosomal RNA
Source: RNAcentral